RNA transcript from Vollenhovia emeryi, 1658 nucleotides. RefSeq lists it as uncharacterized. Lineage: Eukaryota; Metazoa; Arthropoda; Insecta; Hymenoptera; Formicidae. The record is from RefSeq and is a predicted model, not a curated record. The transcript is spliced from 6 exons.
UCCUCGUUUCUCACGGUAUUGUGUCGGCAUCAGUGGUACGUUUACCGUUGUAUGUACCGGAGAGCAGCGAUUCGAGUCGAGCAAGGCAUUUCUACGCUUGAAAAUCUCACUUUCUUCACUGGUAAUUCAAGACAACUAUAACGACUGGCAAAUACAUUCUACGGUGUCAUCUCUCAUACGUUUCAAUUAGAUAUUCGCUUUCGACUACCUUAGUUUCGUCAUCUCGCACGUAGAUUAUGUUACACGUGCACAGGAGGUGACCGUUGUAUGUACCGGAGAGCAGCGAUUCGAGUCGAGCAAGGCAUUUCUACGCUUGAAAAUCUCACUUUCUUCACUGGAAAUAAUGGAUGAGAAAGCGCAAGAUAAAGCAGAGUAGUGAGGAUUACGACUGUGAGAUGAGCAUGCUUACUGAUAAGAGUGAAGAAAACAAGGAGAAAGAGGAUAAUGAAAAACAAACAAAGGAUAUUAAAGAUCAAGUAGAUACUUCUUCGGGAAUGGUAACUGAUGAAGACCACGAUGAUGAUAAAGAUUUUAACGAAAAGGAUGAGGAUGAUGACGCAGAUAAUUAUAAUGUGGUAACACAAGCAAAAGAAAUUACAAAAGAAAAAGCAGAUAAGGAUACCGAUAAGAAUUUUCGUCGUGUACGGUUUCACAUGUCCUCUGAAGAGGAAAAACGAUGUAUGGAAAGAUGGAUUGUAGUUGAAAAUAUUUCACCAAGGCUAGAUAUGGUAGCUUCAAUAAAACUGUUUUCUCAGUAUGGCAACGUUGAAGCAUUUGGUCGCCCAUCGGGCACCACUAAAAUAGAGGAUGCAGUAAGAGCUCUGCAUGGAAUGAAAUACCAUGGAAACUUCUUGAGUAUACAGAUGUCUACUAGAUAUGAAGGACCGUAUAACCCCAAAAAAAAACUAUACUCUUAGGAAAUCUGAUAGAGGAUGUAUAAAACGAAACUACAUAUGAAAUGUAUGUUCAUUUUUUUUAAAAAAUGAACAUUACAUUUAUGUAAUGUUCAUUUUUAAAAAAAAUGAAUAUUACAUUUCAUAUGUAGUUCCGUUUUCUUAUCGCGACAAAAUCUUAAACAUUCAAUUUUUCCAAAGCUGGAGAAGGCCUCCCAAACUUCAUCAAAUUGUACAUCUGAAAGUUUUAAAGCAUCAACCGAUUAUUAAUUUUUAUACUAGACUAUUGCGAUAGUCGAUUAACAACGGUUUAGUAUACAUACCCUCUAUCAGAUUUUCUACGAGUACAGUUUUUAUCAGACAAGUUGGGGAGAAUCUUCUAAAUGUGAAGAAAAUGUUAAGAAACAAAAAAGCUGCAGAGAGAUAACCAAGGAAAGAAGUCUACUGCGUUUCAGGGCCAAAAAGCCACUUUGAAAAACGGAAAGAAGAAAGAACUUGACAAGAAGAAGAAGGUAAUGACUGAAAAGCUUAUGGGUAAACGUUUAGGCUAACAUUGUCACAUAAUAUAGAUUCUCAAACUGCAAGAUUUUUUUUAAUUUUCUAAGACAUUUGCAUGUUCAUUUAAAAACCGAUAUAACGAACGUCGUAGUUAUCACGACAUGAAUGUAAACGAAAUACCUCCUAUAUUUAUGUAUAAGUAUAUUUUGCUUUAUGUAAUUGUCAUUGCUCUUUAAUAAAUAAUGCCUGCAAAUUUCUUUUUACGAA